Octopus sinensis (East Asian common octopus) is the source of this 201-nucleotide long non-coding RNA. RefSeq lists it as uncharacterized. The record is from RefSeq and is a predicted model, not a curated record. The transcript has 3 exons. Lineage: Eukaryota; Metazoa; Mollusca; Cephalopoda; Octopoda; Octopodidae.
UUUGAGUCGCCUCGAUGGUGACAUUUACACUGAAAUAAAUAGAAAACUUUGGAAUGACCUUAACCAGUCCCUUACACUGGAGAAGAUUAACUCCGUGGGAUGUGGUAUAAGAGUUUUCGACUCUUAUUAUAUUCUUGACAAAAAAGAAAUUAAUGAUUUGACGGCUUAUUCAACUUUUUCCUUCAAACCAAAUCCAUAUCA